Molecule: ribosomal RNA, 450 nt
Filed under: uncultured bacterium
Lineage: Bacteria
Description: partial 16S ribosomal RNA
Rfam family: Bacterial small subunit ribosomal RNA
Source: RNAcentral
CCUACGGGGGGCUGCAGUGAGGAAUAUUGGGCAAUGCCCGCAAGGGUGACCCAGCAACGCCGCGUGGAGGAUGAAGGCCGUAAGGUUGUAAACUCCUGUUAGAGGAGAAGAAUAGUACCGAUUGGAUCGGUAUUUGACUGUACCCUCAGAGAAAGCCCCGGCUAACUCCGUGCCAGCAGCCGCGGUAAUACGUAGGGGGCAGGCGUUGUCCGGAGUUACGGGGGCUAAAGGGCGCUAAGAAGUCAGAGGUGAAAUCCUACAGCUUAACUGUAGAACUGCCUUUGAUACUGUUAUUCUUGAGUUCGGGAGAGAGAGACGGAAUUCCAGGUGUAGUGGUGAAAUACGUAGAUAUCUGGAAGAACACCAGUUGCGAAGGCGGUCUCUUGGUCCGAUACUGACGCUGAGGCGCGAAAGCGUGGGGAGCAAACAGGAUUAGAUACCCCAGUAGUC